This 747-nucleotide ribosomal RNA is filed under the name uncultured Streptococcus sp. RNAcentral's name for it is "bacterial SSU rRNA". It matches the Rfam family "Bacterial small subunit ribosomal RNA", at positions 33 to 763 of the family's 1533-position model. The record is from RNAcentral. Lineage: Bacteria; Bacillati; Bacillota; Bacilli; Lactobacillales; Streptococcaceae.
ACGCUGGCGGCGUGCCUAAUACAUGCAAGUAGAACGCUGAGGUUUGGUGUUUACACUAGACUGAUGAGUUGCGAACGGGUGAGUAACGCGUAGGUAACCUGCCUCAUAGCGGGGGAUAACUAUUGGAAACGAUAGCUAAUACCGCAUAAGAGUAAUUAACACAUGUUGGUUAUUUAAAAGGAGCAAUUGCUUCACUGUGAGAUGGACCUGCGUUGUAUUAGCUAGUUGGUGAGGUAAAGGCUCACCAAGGCGACGAUACAUAGCCGACCUGAGAGGGUGAUCGGCCACACUGGGACUGAGACACGGCCCAGACUCCUACGGGAGGCAGCAGUAGGGAAUCUUCGGCAAUGGACGGAAGUCUGACCGAGCAACGCCGCGUGAGUGAAGGAGGUUUUCGGAUCGUAAAGCUCUGUUGUUAGAGAAGAACGUUGGUAGGAGUGGAAAAUCUACCAAGUGACGGUAACUAACCAGAAAGGGACGGCUAACUACGUGCCAGCAGCCGCGGUAAUACGUAGGUCCCGAGCGUUGUCCGGAUUUAUUGGGCGUAAAGCGAGCGCAGGCGGUUCUUUAAGUCUGAAGUUAAAGGCAGUGGCUUAACCAUUGUACGCUUUGGAAACUGGAGGACUUGAGUGCAGAAGGGGAGAGUGGAAUUCCAUGUGUAGCGGUGAAAUGCGUAGAUAUAUGGAGGAACACCGGUGGCGAAAGCGGCUCUCUGGUCUGUAACUGACGCUGAGGCUCGAAAGCGUG